UUGAAAUUGAUGACGGAACGAGUAUGUCAUAGUCCAUUUGUAGAGAGAAACUUCCAUUGGCUGAAAGAAGUUUUAAAUGAAGGAUGACAGAACGCUACUCCUGAGAGCAGCUAAUCCCUGCCGUCUUGCCACGUUACGGCACCAUGAGGUGAUGAAAUAAAUGCAUAUUACCGUAUGCAAUCUAGCUUCAGCGUCUAAAAGCUCUGAAAUUUCCCAAUCUCACGGAAAGACAAAAAGCGUCUUUCUGUUCGACUGGUUCAAUUUCUUCCGCUUUUAAGCGAGACGCUUCCGCUUUUUAUUUCAUAAUUAGGGUGGUAUCGCGAGUUAACUCUCGUCCCUUUU
RNAcentral lists this non-coding RNA (342 nucleotides) under Bacillus cereus. RNAcentral describes it as "T-box sequence". It matches the Rfam family "T-box leader". Rfam says of the family: Uncharged tRNA acts as the effector for transcription antitermination of genes in the T-box leader family. T-boxes are found upstream of many aminoacyl-tRNA synthetase genes and some amino acid biosynthetic genes usually in Gram-positive bacteria. The anticodon of a specific tRNA base pairs to a specifier sequence within the T-box motif, and the NCCA acceptor tail of the tRNA base pairs to a conserved bulge in the T-box antiterminator hairpin. Lineage: Bacteria; Bacillati; Bacillota; Bacilli; Caryophanales; Bacillaceae. The record is from RNAcentral.